Etheostoma spectabile (orangethroat darter) is the source of this 127-nucleotide long non-coding RNA. RefSeq lists it as uncharacterized. The transcript is spliced from 2 exons. NCBI's taxonomy places the organism in Eukaryota, Metazoa, Chordata, Actinopteri, Perciformes, Percidae. The record is from RefSeq and is a predicted model, not a curated record.
AAAAACAGCUACUAAAUGGACCUUAUGGUGAGAUUGUUCAACCACUGUCUCCAAGGAAUGAACAAACGACAGUUGGAUGGUAAUUAAAAAUCCCUUGCUCGCGAUUCUCCAGUCAGAACAACAGAUU